AAAAAAUUCCCCCUCUCUCCUCCUCUACCUCUCUUCUCCUCACCCUCUCUCUGCCUUCCUCUUCUCUCUCCCUUUUCCGGCAGCCGCUCCCCUCCUUCUCUCCUCCUCUCCCUCUCAUUCUUCUUCCCCUCUUUCUCUCUCCCAUCCUUCUCCCCUCUCCCAUCGUUCCCUUUCUCCCUCUUUCUCCCCAUCGCCUUCUGUACCCUCCCGUCUCUUCUCUUCCCCUUCCUCUGCUCCUUUCUUUUCUUCUUUUGCAGGUAGCAGGUUUCAGCGAGCAGGAACAACUCGACCCAGCAGCAACUCUAACUAGCCGCUUCCCUCUCCCAUCACUCUUCUUCUUCUUCUCCCUUUCUCCGCCUCCCUCUUCCCCUCUUUCCUCUCCCGUUUCCCCUUCGUCUUCCCCUUCUUAUUCUCCUUUCUUUCUUUUCUCCUUUUUCAGCCAGCAACUAGCGAGAUAGCAACUCGCUUAUCCUCUCUAAUUUCCAGGCGAGGCGACCAACAACUCUGACCGGCGAAUCAACAACUUCGACCAGCAAAACCAUUUCCCCAUCUGGCCCAGGUAGCCUGCAACAGCAAGCAGCAGCCACACGAGGAUGGGAGAUUUCAGCAACCAGUAGCUCUGUGGUAGCAAUAGCCGUGAGCAGCUCUGACAAGGUUCGAAAUGCCCGAAACUUGCACUAAGCCGGGUCUUGAAAAAUUCGCCUAGGUUUGUUUUUGUUUAAUUAUUGGUAGUCUUCUAAAAAUUAGCUUAUUUUUGGAUAUGAUUUCAUGAUAUUAUCAUCAAUAAUAGUUGAUAAUCUUCUUCUAAGCAUGAAUAUUAAGAUCCUAUGAACAUUUGCUCUAUAAUCGCAUAUUCGGGUUGAUUCAAAUUUUUGCUCAUAUUUUCAUCAUUUUAUUAUAUGCAUGUAUAUGUUUGUGUUCUUGUUAGAUGGGUAUUAUCUAGUUUCCUAUGAUUUUGAAAGGACCCCUUAACUAAGUUUUUCUAUUAAUUAUUUUUUUGUUUUUACUUAUAAUUUUGUACAUUCUCUAUUAAUAAUAAAGUGUUAAUGGUAAGGGAUUGCUGCAAGAAUUGGAUAAGUUGAUUAAUGAUUUCUAUAAUUGCUCAUGAACAGAUUUCUCCUUUACAAAUUAUGGAUGAUUACUAAUAUAUCCUUCUUGCCUUAGUUUUGAAGAAGAUAGGCAUAUUUUACAUGGUAAGAAUAUAUUCUUGAUAAUUGGUAAAAAGUUGAUUAAUUCACAUGUUUAUUUGACUAAUAUUUCUUUAUUCAUAUUACCUUUAAUUAAGAGCAGAUUCUUACUUGUAACAUGAUGGUAAAGUAUAUAUAUAAUUUGUAUGUGAAUAUUUCUUUCCUUACUUUCUUUUAUAUAGCAUUAAUUGGAUAUCCUCAAUUGUUUAUUUGCUUAUCUCAAAUAAAUUAAAAUAUAGUUUUUACUUGCUUUAUUUUGGUAAAAUUGUGAAUUAUUAUGGUAAAAUAUUUCAUUGAUUUGGUAAUGUUUUAUCUAAGAAAAUUAUAUUAUCCUUUCUAAAUUUUAUUUCUUACUUGCUUUCUCUCUUAAAAUAAGAAUAAUAUUAAGUGAUCACUUUUUCCAUUAAUAGUUGACUUGACUAGUUUUCACUUGUUUAUAUAUGACUUUAAUUUUUUUCCUUGUAAUAUUUAGUUGCUCAUAUAUAUUUGUAAAAUAUAUUUUUAUUCCUAAUUUUUCUUAUUUUUGGUAAUAAAAUAUUCUUAAAUUUUUUGAUUUUAGCUCUUCUUUAUCUAAGGAAAAAAUAUUAUUACUUUCUCUUAAUUUAUUCUUACUUGCUUAUAUUUGGUAAAAAAUAAUUAAUUUUUUUUCUACUUUUGGCUCUCCUUUAAAAUAAGGAAAUUGUGAUUAAUUGAUUCCUUUAUAUAUUUCUCUUCCUUAGUUAUUUCCUCCUCUUUGCCAUUAAAACAAGACCCUCCUCUCAUUUACUGAUUCACUCACAUUGACUCUCUAACAAGUUUCUCUCACACACUCACAUCUUGAGAAGAACUCACAUUCUCCAAACUCACACUAAACUCAUUCAUUCGCUCUCUCAAAACAAGAACUAGACUCUUCACUCUCUCAUUGGUAUCUUGCUACUCUAAAAAAUAAAUAAAUUAAGAUUGCGGUAAAACAUUCAAGUGCUCUUCUUUGCUACUUUGCUCUUUUGUUUUUGUUCAAAUAAAAGUUGGAUCAACUUGUUUUCAUUGCUACUAUUUCUUUUCUGCUUAACCGGUUAGUAUUCUUAAUUAGCAUUUUACUAUUAGUCAGCCCUCUAUUUUUUUUCAUUUUUUAUUUUGCAUCUAUUAUUAUUUUUGUGUGUUGGUAAUAAAAGGAAACACUUCUUAUCUUUUGCCCCUAUGUGUGUUGAUAUGUCUAUGCCUAUGUUUUGUCCUUUUUAUUUCUUAUGUGUUGCUUAUAUAUGUAUGUAUGCGAGUAUGCCUAUGUUUUGUCCUUUUUAUUUCUUAUGUGUUGCUUAUAUAUGUAUAUAUGCGAGUAAUUUGUUACUAUGAAUAUUUUACAUUAGAAUCAUUCUUCCAUUGUAUAUUUGUUACCUUACUUAUUCUAGCAGGUUUUGGACUUAAAGUUAAAGAUGAUGAAGAGUGGCCUAGAAGAAAUUUCGGACAAAGCUUUGUUUGUUUUAAUGUUGUGUAUAUUUUUAUCUGUUAUUUUUAUUACAACAUGUGUAUAACUCUAAAGCAACUCUUAUGUAUGAAACAAUUUUGGGGAUCGCCUAGGGAGGGGGAAUUAUGUGUUAAAUAUCUUCUUUUUCUUAUUUUCAUCAAACUUAUUUGUGUUAGAAAGCAUGCCUAUAGGUUCAUAAUUUAUUUUUUGAUAAAUUUUUAUGUGGUAAAGUAAUUUUUAGAUCUAACCAUAAAAAAAAAUAUAAAAUGAAUCAACUUUGCUCAAUCAUUUAGUUUAACUUUGCUCAAUUAAUGUUUGAAAUUAAUUUUAUCCAAAUUGACGUGUUAAGUAAUGAGUUAUGAUUAAUUUGCUAAAAUGUUAAUAACUUAUGUGCAUUUUA
Molecule: long non-coding RNA, 3028 nt
Filed under: Solanum lycopersicum (tomato)
Lineage: Eukaryota; Viridiplantae; Streptophyta; Magnoliopsida; Solanales; Solanaceae
Description: long non-coding RNA (SLYC_LNC001315)
Source: RNAcentral